AAUAUGGAUUACUCUUUUAAAGAAAAAAGCAAAAUAGUGAAGUACUAUUCGCAUUUCCUAACGACAAAGAAUUAAUUACGGUUGACUUCAUUUAGUUUCUUGGUGUAAUAAAAAAUUUACUUUUCUGUUUUCUGAACUUGCAAACCAGCUACUCACUCUCUUUCUUUCUCUGUCAGAAAAACGGGACCCAAAGGCUAAUCUGAACCGUUGGAUCCAUAUCUUGCCGGCGAUACAGAUGCGGCCGACCGCCCGAUCACUACCUCUUGUUCUACUCCUCGCCGCCUUCCUCAUCGUGUCUCCGGCGUUUGCUUCCGAGUCCGAUCACAAGGUAUAAAUCUGACAUAUUCUGCAUUGCAUCGGGGAAACCCUAAUUCUAGCUCAUUCUUUAUUUUUCAUAGUUCACUCUUGUAGAAAUUCCGUCACAUUCAUGGAAUUGUUCCCGUGUUAGUCAGAUAUUUGGGGAUUUUGAUUGCUGGGAUGUUACUCGUGCGUCAUUUUUGUAAUUUGUGAGCCAUUAAAAGUACAACGCAGUAUAAUCCG
RNAcentral lists this long non-coding RNA (540 nucleotides) under Nicotiana benthamiana. Its description in RNAcentral is "long non-coding RNA (NBEN_LNC033848)". Lineage: Eukaryota; Viridiplantae; Streptophyta; Magnoliopsida; Solanales; Solanaceae. The record is from RNAcentral.